AGUCUGUGCUGCAAUGACCUGUUGUNUUUAGUUUGUUUCCUACUUUUCAUCUCUUUCAAUAUUCUUUUGAGGCCUUCAUAAUCCAUGUAUUCUUUCUCCCACUCAGGCACCAUUUGUUGCUUAAAGUCUUUCUUAAAUGUCAUCUUUCAUGUGUGACACAUAUGUUAUAACAAAGAAAACAUCAUACAAGAAAGUUCAACAUGUAACAUACUCAAGGAAAACAUCUUAGGAAACACUGAAACANGAGUUAACACAAUAUGCAGCCUAAAUUUUCCUGAUAUGUAGAGCUACUCUCAUCAACAUCUCAAUUCUAACAAAUAUAAGAUUACUACUAAAUAAUACUAAUGAUAAUUACAUUAUAAAAUUUAUCCUUCUAACCUAUCAAUCAUCAUUGCAUUAUCCUAUCUAUUACUAACAAUUAAUAAUAAUGAUAAAAAGACAAGAAACUAGAAUUUCACAGUCCAACACAAUGUCCUUAAGGCUUCAGAAUGUUUAGUUUGAACUGUGAAGAUGGAUUCAUGUAGAAGCAAAUGAAAGGGACUUUACAAUCUAGUCAGGAUAAGAACAAAAAGUAACACAUGAAAAGCAAGAACUUCAUAAUUAGAUGUAACAAGUUCGUACACUAAAAUUACAAGAAAGGGGAAGUCAGAAAUAUACACAGACUAGCAGCUACAACAAAACUAUAACAAAGCCAACUUAAAUGUUUAAGCACUUUGUCUCAUACAGAAGCUCUCUCUCUCUCUAUAUUUAUAUUUAUG
This 758-nucleotide long non-coding RNA is filed under the name Vigna radiata. Its description in RNAcentral is "long non-coding RNA (VRAD_LNC011416)". Lineage: Eukaryota; Viridiplantae; Streptophyta; Magnoliopsida; Fabales; Fabaceae. The record is from RNAcentral.